GAGUUUGAUCCUGGCUCAGAUUGAACGCUGGCGGCAUGCUUUACACAUGCAAGUCGAACGGUAACAGGCCGCAAGGUGCUGACGAGUGGCGAACGGGUGAGUAAUGCAUCGGAACGUGCCCAGUCGUGGGGGAUAACGCAGCGAAAGCUGCGCUAAUACCGCAUACGAUCUGUGGAUGAAAGCGGGGGACCUUAGGGCCUCGCGCGAUUGGAGCGGCCGAUGUCAGAUUAGGUAGUUGGUGGGGUAAAGGCUCACCAAGCCGACGAUCUGUAGCUGGUCUGAGAGGACGACCAGCCACACUGGGACUGAGACACGGCCCAGACUCCUACGGGAGGCAGCAGUGGGGAAUUUUGGACAAUGGGGGCAACCCUGAUCCAGCAAUGCCGCGUGCAGGAAGAAGGCCUUCGGGUUGUAAACUGCUUUUGUACGGAACGAAAAGGCUCUGGUUAAUACCUGGGGCACAUGACGGUACCGUAAGAAUAAGCACCGGCUAACUACGUGCCAGCAGCCGCGGUAAUACGUAGGGUGCGAGCGUUAAUCGGAAUUACUGGGCGUAAAGCGUGCGCAGGCGGUGCUG
This 577-nucleotide ribosomal RNA is filed under the name uncultured Pseudomonadota bacterium. RNAcentral describes it as "bacterial SSU rRNA". It matches the Rfam family "Bacterial small subunit ribosomal RNA", at positions 9 to 583 of the family's 1533-position model. Lineage: Bacteria; Pseudomonadati; Pseudomonadota. The record is from RNAcentral.